This is a non-coding RNA of Macaca mulatta (Rhesus monkey), 5053 nucleotides long. The record is from RefSeq and is a predicted model, not a curated record. NCBI's taxonomy places the organism in Eukaryota, Metazoa, Chordata, Mammalia, Primates, Cercopithecidae.
CCCGCACUUCCGGAUCCGGGUUGUUGCAGGAUCUCACGGGCUUUAAACUGCGGCGCCGCGGCGCGCGGGUGCGGAUCCCCAGAUGGGAGCUGGGGAUGGGCUGGUUGCCCGGCGGGUGGCACGUUGCCGCCUCGGGCCCCGGAGACCUUCACCCCGCCGCCUACCCAGGCGGGCCGGCCCUGCCCGUCCACCGGCGGCCGAGAGUCCCCGGCCUUGGGCCCCAGGGGCCGCUGACUGGCCUCGGUCACCUCUCGGGGAAGACUCCCGCGUCUCCAUCUGCCCCAGGAAGGGACCCGCUUCUCGCCCGCGAGGCUUCUCCAGGUGGGAUCGCCCUGGCCCCCGGCCCUAAGGGACCCGCCUCCUCCGAGCAUCCGCCGCCCCUCGGAGACCACUCCAGCUCAGAGGGACCCACUCCAGCCACCGCUGCACGCGGGAGCGCUCAUCCUUCCCACCUGCUCCGUCCCUCCUCCUCCUCCUGUGGGACCACCAGAGACCCCAGCUCCCCGCUCCCCAAGUGUGGGGCCUCCGACGCGAACGCCUCUGCUCGCAAGGCGGUGAGCGCAGAUCCCACGGGGCCCUCGGUCGGGGGUCAAGGCUGCCUCCGUUUCCAUCCCGGACCCGACAAUGGGCCGGAAAAAGACUUUGCACGACUGCGCGGCGGAGUUCACCGACCUGGUGGUGUAGCAGCCCCUGACUGAGCACAGUGACUCUGGGGACACGUCUGUGGUGGAGACCCUUUCCUGCACGGCCUGCGAGCUGCCUAUGCGCGUGCCCAGGGACCGCAUCCCGGAGCACCUGUCCUCGGGCAGGCACCACAGGAACCGCAGACUCAUCCGCAGCACGGCCUGCGGACGCCCAUUCUCGUCUCGGCCGCCUCGGAUCUCACUGCCACCGGCCUUCACGCACACCCUCGCCACCAGCCUUUGCCCCAUCAGCCUCAGCCCCAGCUCAUUCUCUCAGGCAGUCCCAGCAUUGGCACGGUACCUCCUCCCGCCGUGGGCCACACGUCUCUGCUCCCUGUCAACCCUACUGCCAUCAGCAUCACCACAAGCGACUUGUCUGCCCAGGAGGAUGCAACACCAUCUACCUCCACCCGCCACCUUUCAGUGUUUUCUGCUUUCCAAGUAAAGACACCAGCAGUGCCCUCAGAGCGGACCACCCAGAGAUUUUCCGAAGCCUCCCUCCCAUAGGGUGCUCCGUGGAGGAGGCCUGAGAUGCUGUCAUGACUUUGGAGCCAGGGUGGCCGACCACCUUGGCCUGGCCAUCUUUGGGGUGGGCUUUGGGAGCCCAGCACUGCUGCCGAGUGUGGUGGAUGAGAACGGCUGCUGCUUGCUGUACGUGGUGGAGGACCAGCUGUGUGGCGUGGAGUGAGCCUUCAGAGCUGAGCAUUUGGCCAACACCAGAGUGGUUCGGGAACAGGAUGCGGACAUUGUCCUCAACGACCAGCGGUGCGGUUUCAGUUGUCAGCAGAGGUUCACUGAACACCUGCUGUGUGCCGGGCACCGUCCUGGGGGCUGGAGAAAUGGCUCUGAAUGCUGCAAAGCCCCCAUCCUUGUGUUGCUGAAUUGGGUGCAGAGGCAGCUGAGUAGAUCUCAAUACAUCAGUAGCAAUAAACUCUGUGGAGAGAACUCACGCCGUCGGGAGAGGGAGGCUGGUGGGAGCGCUGUUUUAGCGUCUCUGGAGUAGCUGUCUGCUCUCCGCCGGAGGCAGCUUCUGAAAUCAUGAUGCAUGCUCUCCGAGCAGGGAAGGGGGUGCUUUGCGAGAGGCUGCCGAGUUUGAAUUGUCAGGCUGCCCAGUCCUGCUUCGAUGAAGCUGACGGACGUGGAAAGCCUUUGGUCUGUGGAUUUUACAAGUGGGAUUUUCUACAACGCUGCUGUGCACAACGUGGAUGCCACAUGCGUGUUGCUGGGGGAGGCCACUUCGGACACUGUUUUCUCUGGGACAUGCCUUCUGCCCAGAUAUGGCCGCCUUAAAAGAUGCAGGCACUGUUAUGAUCAGCAUGAAGUUUCCCUGUGGGGCUGUGGUCAGCGUGGACGUCAGCCAGCACCGUACAGACAGCUGUGACCAGAGAUUGGAGGUGACCCCCUGCCCUUUUCCACCCCUCGCCAGUCCACUGUGAAAAGCUGGGUUCGUUCUAUGGGUUAGAUAGAGGUCGUCAGCCAGGUUGAUUGUGUGGGUUAGAGAGAGGUUGUCACCCGGCCACCCUCAGCUGGGUCGAUUGUGCGGGUUAGAUAGGGGUCGUCACCCGGCCACCCUCAGCUGGGUCGAUUGUGCGGGUUAGAUAGGGGUCGUCACCCGGCCACCCUCAGCUGGGUCGAUUGUGCGGGUUAGAUAGGGGUCGUCACCCGGCCACCCUCAGCUGGGUUGAUUGUGCGGGUUAGAUAGGGGUCGUCACCCGGCCACCCUCAGCUGGGUUGAUUGUACAGGUUAGAGAGAGGUUGUCACCCGGCCACCCUCAUCUGGGUUGAUUGUGCGGGUUAGAUAGGGGUCGUCACCCGGCCACCCUCAGCUGGGUUGAUUGUGCGGGUUAGAUAGAGGUCAUCAGCCGGGUUGAUCCUGCUGAUUAAAUAGAGGUCAUCACCUGGCCAUCCCCAGUCGGAGCACAUGCAGCACACCUUGUGCAUAGUCAGUGCUCGGUAAAUAUUCGUUUUAGUUUUCUGGUGAGAGCCACGUCUUCAGGUUUUGAAGAGAGUUCGUUCUCUGGCCUCUGGGCCUCCAGGAGCUGUUUUGUGACGGUGGCUUUCCUUUACAUUGGCUGUUGCUCUAUAGAAGCCUGUGCUUCCUUGGCCAUUACAUGGAAAGCUGGUGUUGGUCACGGUGUGCCAUGGGAAGUGAUAAUGACGGUCCUGGAAGGCCUGCGUCAUGUGUCACCUGCCCGCCCCACCCCCACCAGCAAAAGCCCUGGUGGUGUUCAGUCAUCCCCUUCCCCUCCCCACUUCCUGUGCUCGGCCUGGUUAACUCCUGUCUUGCAAUGGCUCCCAGGUGCGUGGGUCCCAAGGUGCGCUGCAGAUGGAGAAUCAGAAUCCCUUGGGCAUCACUGGGCGGGGCACGUCCCUGUCCCUCGGCUCCCAGACCCAGGCUAGCCGCUACCAGGACUCGUAUCGAGAGCUCUUCAGAUACUUUGUCAGAACCCUUAAAGGUGGGUGACGUUCUCAGGAGGAACCUGGGAUGUUCCGAUGCUCAACGGGUAGAUGCCUUCCAGGCUGCAGUCAGUGCAGAUGAUAUGCCAAUUUCAGGUGGAAAAUUGCAUUCCAGAUACUGGGUUCAGAUUUGAAAUUGUCCAUCUCAGUGAUCAUUUGUGUUGCUUGUACUCGAGGAAGAUUCUGAGAGACGCUCCUUUGGGGUUCUGUGCAUGUACCAUGUUGCCUGGCAAGUCCUAAGAAAUCUUCUAGAACUCCGAGGUUUAUAAAAUGAUGACUACUUCUGAACUCCUGAGAUCUAGUGGAUACCACGUGUCCUGGAGAUAGGACGCCUUCUACCCUCUGUCAGUCCUGGGGGUGACUGGGAACCAGGGAGGUGGAACAGAAUUCCGGGACCUGGGUUGGGCUUGUCCAAGAGGGGCAGGUGGGUCUCUCUAGGACCAGUGUCCCACCCCGAGGCCAGUGGCCCCUUCACAUGUCCCAACAAGAAUACUGUCUGGCUCCGAUGUGUUGGGUUUUAUCCUGAAUCUGUGCAAAUGUGCAGGGAAAGAACCUCCUGAAAUCACCAAAGAGCAGUUCCUCAGAGCCUUCCGGGCGGCCGUGGCCGCGGAGCAGUCGUGGUGGAGCCGGUCAGCUGUGGCCCUGCCCUGCGAAUCGGCAGAGGCCUCCGUGGUGAAGACAGAAGCUCCGUGAACCAACCCAAGGCUGGAGCCAAGAUCCUGCCCAAUAUCCAGUUGCCUGUUUCUCUUCUCACUGUUACUGAGAGAGGGAGACAGAACCUUCUGGCGAUCUUGUCCUCACUGGAGACUCAGAACAGGAAGCAUUGGGAAACCAUGUGUGUUUCAUUUCUGGUGCGACCAGGCUUUUCAGGAUGUGACUUCAGACCAAGGACACAAGUUGGGCUUGCUUAGCUGUUUUGUGUUGCGCGCCGGCCGCAGAGAUGCUCUUCCCCUCAGAGUUCCCUUGGCAGGACCUCGGAGGCCUCUGGUUGGCUGUCUCAGGAAGAGGGCAGGUCAGGGAUUGGACAGUGUAAAUUGACCCAGAAACCUGCGGUUUCAGCUUUUCUGUGGCAAACAGGGCCGAGGGCUGGUGAAGCUGUUAAGACUGAAUGUGGCAUGCAUGAGGCAGACUGCAGGCCUCCUUAGGCCUUUUUUGGGGUAAUUACACCAGUAUUUAAAAACAUUUUUUUUUGUUUUGAGACAGAGUCUUGCCCUGUCACCCAGGCUGGAGUGCAGUGGUGCAAUCUCGGCUCACUGCAACCUCUGCCUCCUGGGUUCAAGUGAUUCAUCUACCUCACCCUUCUGAGUAGCUGGGAUUACAGGCAUGCGCCACCACACCCGGCUAAUUUUUGUAUUUUUAGUAAAGACGGGGUUUCACCAUGUUGGCCAGGCUGGUCUCGAACUACUGACCUCGUGAUCCACCUGCCACAGCCUCCCAAAGUGCUGGGAUCACAGGCGUGAGCCACCUGCUCGGUCUAAAAAACAAUUUUCUUGAAGAAUCUGAUUUUGUGCAUAGUAAUGACACAGCAACAUUCCAGAGAAAUAGGAAAUAUAUGUGUGUGGUAUGAGAAGCCCAUAUUCUGUUCUUGUCGCCUGAAUCUAGGCUUCCUCUCUGGAUGUGAGCGCAGGAAUGAACGGCGGCUGUUUUCCGCCCAAAGGGGUGUGGAGACCUUUUGGAAACAGGCCUUCUCCUUUCCGUUUUGCAGCCAGGUGGUGGAAACCUUCCUUCGAAGGGUAGUGCCUUGGGGAGCAGCAGACCUGCUCCGAGUCCAGCUUAGCUUUCCAAAAUUCUGUGUGGAACCUACUGAAGAUGUUUUUAUAUAUUUGAAAAUAAUGGCAUGUAUUUCUCAUGCUAUAGUUAAAAAAAAUAACCUUUUAAACAAAGAUAUUCAAACUCACCCUUGUGCCAAAAGC